This 541-nucleotide ribosomal RNA is filed under the name uncultured fungus. RNAcentral's name for it is "eukaryotic LSU rRNA". The stretch from base 195 to 348 matches the Rfam family "5.8S ribosomal RNA". Lineage: Eukaryota; Fungi. The record is from RNAcentral.
AAGUCGUAACAAGGUCUCCGUUGGUGAACCAGCGGAGGGAUCAUUACCGAGUUUACAACUCCCAAACCCCUGUGAACAUACCUUAUGUUGCCUCGGCGGAUCAGCCCGCGCCCCGUAAAAAGGGACGGCCCGCCGCAGGAACCCUAAACUCUGUUUUUAGUGGAACUUCUGAGUAUAAAAAACAAAUAAAUCAAAACUUUCAACAACGGAUCUCCUGGUUCUGGCAUCGAUGAAGAACGCAGCAAAAUGCGAUAAGUAAUGUGAAUUGCAGAAUUCAGUGAAUCAUCGAAUCUUUGAACGCACAUUGCGCCCGCCAGUAUUCUGGCGGGCAUGCCUGUUCGAGCGUCAUUUCAACCCUCAAGCCCAGCUUGGUGUUGGGAGCUGCAGUCCUGCUGCACUCCCCAAAUACAUUGGCGGUCACGUCGAGCUUCCAUAGCGUAGUAAUUUACACAUCGUUACUGGUAAUCGUCGCGGCCACGCCGUUAAACCCCAACUUCUGAAUGUUGACCUCGGAUCAGGUAGGAAUACCCGCUGAACUUAA